GAUGAACGCUAGCGGCAGGCUUAACACAUGCAAGUCGAGGGGCAGCGAGAGAGUAGCAAUACUUUUGUCGGCGACCGGCGGACGGGUGCGUAACGCGUAUGCAACCUACCUUAUACAGGGGGGAUAACCUUUCGAAAAGGGAGACUAAUACCGCAUAACAUUACUUUGAGGCAUCUUGAGGUAAUUAAAUCUUCGGAGGUAUAAGAUGGGCAUGCGUAGCAUUAGCUAGAUGGUGCGGUAACGGCGUACCAUGGCGACGAUGCUUAGGGGUUCUGAGAGGAAGGUCCCCCANACUGGUACUGAGAUACGGACCAGACUCCUACGGGAGGCAGCAGUGAGGAAUAUUGGGUCAAAUGGUCGGAAGACUGAACCAGCCAUGCCGCGUGCAGGAAGAAUGUCUUAUGGAUUGUAAACUGCUUUUACCAGGGACGAAGAACGUGAC
Molecule: ribosomal RNA, 442 nt
Filed under: uncultured bacterium
Lineage: Bacteria
Description: bacterial SSU rRNA
Rfam family: Bacterial small subunit ribosomal RNA
Source: RNAcentral